Molecule: ribosomal RNA, 433 nt
Filed under: uncultured bacterium
Lineage: Bacteria
Description: partial 16S ribosomal RNA
Rfam family: Bacterial small subunit ribosomal RNA
Source: RNAcentral
AACGAACGCUGGCGGCAUGCCUAACACAUGCAAGUCGAACGAGACCUUCGGGUCUAGUGGCGCACGGGUGCGUAACGCGUGGGAACCUGCCCUUAGGUUCGGAAUAACUCCCCGAAAGGGGUGCUAAUACCGGAUAAUGUCUUCGGACCAAAGAUUUAUCGCCUUUGGAUGGGCCCGCGUUGGAUUAGCUAGUUGGUAGGGUAAAAGCCUACCAAGGCGACGAUCCAUAGCUGGUCUGAGAGGAUGAUCAGCCACACUGGGACUGAGACACGGCCCAGACUCCUACGGGAGGCAGCAGUGGGGAAUAUUGGACAAUGGGCGAAAGCCUGAACCAGCAAUGCCGCGUGAGUGAUGAAGGCAUUAGGGUUGUAAAGCUCUUUUACCCGGGAUGAUAAUGACAGUACCGGGAGAAUAAGCUCCGGCUAACUCCGUG